AUUGAACGCUGGCGGCAUGCCUUACACAUGCAAGUCGAACGGCAGCACGGGGCAACCUGGUGGCGAGUGGCGAACGGGGGAGUAAUGCAUCGGGACGUACCUUUCAGUGGGGGAUUACGUAGCGACAGUUGCGCUAAUACCGCCUAUUCUGUGAGCAGGAAAGCGGGGGAUCGCAAGCACGUGCGCUGUUUGAGCGGCCGGUGUCAGAUUAGCUAGUUGGUGAGGUAAAGGCGCACCAAGGCGACGAUCUGUAGCGGGUCUGAGAGGAUGAUCCGCCACACUGGAAGUGAGACACGGUCCAGACUCCUACGGGAGGCAGCAGUGGGGGAUUUUUGACAAUGGGGGCAACCCUGAUCCAGCUAUGCCGCGUGAGUGAAGAAGGCCUUCGGGUUGUAAAGCUCUUUCGGCCGGGAAGAAAUCGCACGGGCUAAUACCCUGUGUGGAUGACGGUACCGGAAUAAGAAGCACCGGCUAACUACGUGCCAGCCGCCGCCGUAA
This 498-nucleotide ribosomal RNA is filed under the name uncultured bacterium. Its description in RNAcentral is "partial 16S ribosomal RNA". It matches the Rfam family "Bacterial small subunit ribosomal RNA", at positions 30 to 523 of the family's 1533-position model. The record is from RNAcentral.